RNAcentral lists this ribosomal RNA (253 nucleotides) under uncultured bacterium. RNAcentral's name for it is "partial 16S ribosomal RNA". It matches the Rfam family "Bacterial small subunit ribosomal RNA", at positions 524 to 776 of the family's 1533-position model. The record is from RNAcentral.
UACGUAGGGGGCAAGCGUUAUCCGGAAUUACUGGGUGUAAAGGGAGCGUAGACGGUAAUGUAAGUCUGGAGUGAAAGGCGGGGGCCCAACCCCCGGACUGCACUGGAAACUAUGUUACUAGAGUGCAGGAGAGGUAAGCGGAAUUCCUAGUGUAGCGGUGAAAUGCGUAGAUAUUAGGAGGAACACCAGUGGCGAAGGCGGCUUACUGGACUGUAACUGACGUUGAGGCUCGAAAGCGUGGGGAGCAAACAGG